UUCCCUGGUCAGUGGGACUGUUUUUGGUUUUCUGCUGGGUAACUCUUUCCAUGGAAUAACUGCAUUUCUCAUGGAUGGAUGGAUUAAUGGAUUGGAGCAAGUAUGUGGGUGGAGGAGAUUUUAGUGGACCAGAAAAUUGACAUACAUAACAACAACUCCUGGACAUUCCUGUUGCUUUCUGGAUCAUGUUUAUCAGGUUUAACUGAAACUCAAAAGGAGCUGUACCACUUUCUUGACAACCCUGUAUUGCCUGAGCUACAUUUUUGCCUCUGGUCAGCCCUGCCCUCUGGUGGAGAAAGUCAUGUUUCAGCAGUGGAGGAACAAGUAGUCAGGUCGAUUUUAAGCAAAAUGGUAAUAUUUUGUAAAGUUUAUGAUGCAGUUAAUGCUUGAUAUUGUAGCACUUUGUAUUAUAUACCCUCAGAAAUAAAAUAAGUCAUUAUGGAAUAGCCUCUUUUGAGUGUUAAAAUGUCCCAGUCCUGCAUCCUAAAGUCGGCCACAAUUGUCCCACUGCCAAAGCGUACCGACAUUAGCAGCCUCAACGACUACCGACCAGUUGUUCUGACACCUGUUAUUUUGAAGUGCUUCAAGAAACUGGUCCGACAUCACAUCAUGUCCUGCCUGCAUGCCUGCCACCCACAAUCGACCCGCUCCAGUUCGCAUACAGAGCUAACAGACCAACUGAAGAUGCCAUUACUAAAACGCUCCACACCACCAUCUCUCACCUGGAACAACAAGGGCAUUACGCCAGGCUGCUCUUUGUUGACUUUAGCUCUGCUUUCAAUACGAUACUCCCGGACAGACUAAUAGUUAAACUGCUGGAUAUUGGGCUUCCUUCUACCACCUGCCGCUGGAUCAGAGACUUCCUGUCAGACAGUGUACAGAAAGUUAGAGUGGGGCCUCAUCUUUCCUCACCACUCAGCCUUAACACCGGCUCUCCACAAGGCUGUGUCGUGAGUCCUCUACUAUACACUCUGUACACAUGACUGUGUUAGUACCCACCCAGACAACGCAGUCAUUAAGUUUGCAGAUGAUACCACCGUGGUGGGGCUCAUCUCUGGGGGAGAUGAGACGGCAUACAGAGCUGAGAUUCAGAGGCUGUCAGAUUGGUGUGUAGACAACAACCUGGACCUCAAUACCACCAAAACAAAAGAGCUGGUAGUCGACUUCAGAAGGAGGAAGUCUGAGCUGCAGCCUGUCAACAUCAGCGGGGAGUGUGUGGAAAGGGUGUCCAGUUUCAAGUUCCUGGGUGUGCACAUAGACACAGACCUCCAAUGGAGCUCAAACACCUCUGCGGUUUUGAAGAAGGCCCAACAGCGUGUCCACUUUCUGAGAAUCCUCAGAAAAUUGGACCUGAAGAAGGAGCUGCUGACUGUCUUCUACCUCUGCUCCAUUGAAAGUGUGCUGACUGCAUCUGUGUGUGGUUCUCCAGCUGCACCACGAAAAGGCACUUCAGAGGGUCAUUAAUAUGGCCCAAAAAAUCAUUGGCCAUCCUCUUCCCUCCCUGAAGGACCUGUACAGCAUUCGCUGUCUCAA
Long non-coding RNA from Oreochromis niloticus (Nile tilapia), 1533 nucleotides. RefSeq lists it as uncharacterized. The record is from RefSeq and is a predicted model, not a curated record. Lineage: Eukaryota; Metazoa; Chordata; Actinopteri; Cichliformes; Cichlidae. The transcript has 3 exons.